This 475-nucleotide ribosomal RNA is filed under the name uncultured Megasphaera sp. RNAcentral's name for it is "bacterial SSU rRNA". It matches the Rfam family "Bacterial small subunit ribosomal RNA", at positions 82 to 525 of the family's 1533-position model. The record is from RNAcentral. Lineage: Bacteria; Bacillati; Bacillota; Negativicutes; Veillonellales; Veillonellaceae.
CCUAUGAAAUCGAGUGGCAAACGGGGUGAGUAACGCGUAAACAACCCUGCCCUUCGGAUGGGGAUACAGCCGGAAAACGGCUGCUAAUACCGAAUACGAUCUUUUCGUCGCAUGACGGAAAAAGAAGAAAAGGAAUGGCCUCUAUACAAAGCUAUCGCCGAAGGAGGGGUUUUGCGACUGAUUAGCUGGUUGGAGGGGUAACGGCCCAACAAGGCGAUGAUCAGUAGCCGGUCUGAGAGGAUGAACGGCCACAUUGGGACUGAGACACGGCCCAGACUCCUACGGGAGGCAGCAGUGGGGAAUCUUCCGCAAUGGACGAAAGUCUGACGGAGCAACGCCGCGUGAGUGAAGAAGGUCUUCGGAUUGUAAAGCUCUGUUAUACGGGACGAAAAAGACGGAUGCCAACAGUAUCCGUCCGUGACGGUACCGUAAGAGAAAGCCACGGGCUAACUACGUGCCAGCAGCCGCGGUAAAU